RNA transcript from Oryza brachyantha (malo sina), 2309 nucleotides. RefSeq lists it as uncharacterized. Lineage: Eukaryota; Viridiplantae; Streptophyta; Magnoliopsida; Poales; Poaceae. The record is from RefSeq and is a predicted model, not a curated record. The transcript is spliced from 7 exons.
CACUCUAUUCUCCUUCUAUCAAGCCUAACCUACUGUAGUAGUAGUGUCAUAGUAGAGGGGAGGGGAGAGAUGGCGUCCGACCCCGCGCCGCCGCACGAGCCCGCUGCCGCCGCCGAUGACGUCCUCGCCACCUACCUCGGCCUCAGCUUCGCCUUCUUCCUCGCCUCCCUGCCCGGCGGCACCCCGGCCGCGCGCCACCUCGCCUCGCUGCAGUCGCGCGGCCGCGUCCUCGCCACGCGCCUCCUCGCCGCCGAGGACCAGCUCCGCCAGCUGCGCGCGCGCCGCCGCGAGGACGCCCGCGCCAAUGCCCGCGCCGCCGAGAUCUUCGCCGGCCACCGCGCCUCCUGGAUGGACAACGAGCGCCGCCUCCUCGCCCGCGCCACCGCCGCCACCGACGAGGCCGCCUCCCUCCGCGCGCGCCUCGCCGAGGCCGAGGCCGAGGCCGCCGCGCUGCGGGCCCGCGUCGACCGCCUCGAGCGCGAGGCCGCCGAGCGCGAUGAUCUCAUCAACGCGCUCCUGGCCGCCACGCGCGCCGCCGAUGCCGACCUACGGGCCACCGAGGAGGAGCCCGACCCGCGGGAGGCGGACCACCAGCACCAGCCGGCGGUCCCGGCGUUGGAUCCGGUCGAACCCUGCAGUGCUGACGCCGACGCCGACGCCCUGGCUGCAGCCGCGGCUCUCUACGCUCAGCAGCGCCAGCAGCACGAGGGUUUCGGCGACGACUUCUACACGGCGGCGGCGGCGGCCGCCUCGGGAAUGCAGCCAUGGAGGGAGCGAUCAAAAGGCUGGCAGGACCUGAAGUUCGAAGCGGCUGAGCCAAUGUAUAACACAAAGCAUGCUGUACCACGGAGAGAAUCACCUUGGAAGGUGGAUGUGGAAUCAUCAGGAGUUCCUGCAAAGCUUCAACUGCUUGAGCAGGAAUUAAUUAACCUGGAAAAGAUUGGAAAUGGAGACCUUUCCAAGAUACCACUGGUGAUGAGAAAGCAAGUGAAAAGAUACCAAACUCUUGCAGGGAAGAUUGAUGAUCUUUGCAAAAGAAUGCAAACAAGUGACCCCUGUGAUUCAACACUGAGCUCAGAGUUUAGAACACAAAGGCAAACAGAAUACUUGCUGGAAGCAUUCCACCUGCAGCACCGAGCAACUGAAACUAGGCAGAAGCUCAGUGCACUGCAAGCAGAGACCGCAAAAGGAAGUUUCGGUGAUGAACUGACAGCAGAAGCUAAAAUGAGCACAAGAAGAGCACUGAGUUCUGUCCGGAACAACUUCAAGGAAAUUCAGCGUAGUUUGGAGAUUUGGUUGGCACGAAUUCUGGGAGACCUCGAGGGCAUGCUGGCAAGGGACGGUGCAUCACGCAUAAGGGAGUACUUUUUGUCUCCUUAUGCUUCAGCUGUUCGAUGAUUAUGUUAACAGAUACGAGACUCUGCUCGACACAUUAAUUCACCUUCAUCAGAAAUACAAAUGCUAACCAUACUUGAAGAGAAUAUGGAUUGAACAAAGCUGAAGGAUGUUGAUACCAGUCACAGAUUACCUGGGCAGGCUGAUUUCCAGGGAAGUUCGGUUCUUUGAUUUGGACUCAUUCAUACGACUGCAGCUUUGGGCCAGUUUCAGAUUGGGAGAGCUGGUAAAGCAUUGAUGAAAUGGCAAUGGAGCAUAGUAUGUAUGCAAGAUGCAAAACAACGGUCGGUCGUGAAGAGGCUGGUGGCAAAAGGCGCGAAAUUUGCUUUGAAACUUAAAGGCAGGUACUGGAUGAUUGAUCAGGUGAGGUGAGGAAGCUACAAUAUUCUUCUUCUGCUUCCAUGAGACAAGCAUAAUAAUAACAAAAAGAGAAAAGAGAAAGAAAGAAGCAAGCAGCAGAAGAAUUGAACUUUGGCACGCAGCUAGCUGAGCUAAAGCUUUAAUUCGCCGAAAGAGAUGGAGGGAAGUGAGAUGCGUUUCUUUUUGGCAGAUGACCACCGGAUACAGAUGAUACCAGUAUAGUAUUCAUCCCGAUGGAUCGAUUAAAGAAGAAAAGAGAAAAAAGUGAUGGAGAUGUAUGCACGAUGAACUGAUUAGCUAGUGGUAGCUUGGCCUGGCUUGGCACUAGUAACAAUUAUGAGUAGCAGCUUCUGUCGAAGCUUGCAGACAUCCAUCUGAUCGAUCGAGCUGGUGGUGGCCAUGGGUCGAUGAAUUAGCAGGACAGGAGGAGGCAGCAGCUGCUGGGACUGGGAGCAUGGAGCCCACGACGGCCAUGGCCAUGGAUGCUGCAGCUGGUGGUACAGUGAACAUCUACUGUUACAGCUAGCUAGGUAACAGUAGCUGCCAAGUUAGGU